RNAcentral lists this non-coding RNA (30 nucleotides) under Rattus norvegicus (Norway rat). The record is from RNAcentral. Lineage: Eukaryota; Metazoa; Chordata; Mammalia; Rodentia; Muridae.
CUCCCAGAUACCCUAUUUGGUGUAAGAGGA